Molecule: ribosomal RNA, 943 nt
Filed under: uncultured euryarchaeote
Lineage: Archaea; Methanobacteriati; Methanobacteriota
Description: bacterial SSU rRNA
Rfam family: Archaeal small subunit ribosomal RNA
Source: RNAcentral
UCAUGGGAAGCGUGACCCGGACUUAGUGACGGAAACUUAGUUUCCGCCUUUUUCAAGUGUAAAUAGCUUGGAGAAUAAGGGUGUGGGCAAGACUGGUGGCAGCCGCCGCGGUAACACCAGCGCCUCAAGUGGUACCCACGUAUACUGGGCCUAGAGCGUCCGUAGCCGGCCUGAAAAGUCCUCUGUGAAAUAGUGGGGCUCAACUCCACUGCGCGCAGGGGAUACUGCCGGGCUUGGGAGCGGGGGAGGUAAGGGGUACACCUAGGGUAGGGGGUAAAAUCCGUUGAGCCUAGGUGGACCACCAGUGGCGAAGGCGCCUUACCAAAACGCGUCCGACGGUGAGGGACGAAAGCUGGGGGAGCGAACGGGAUUAGAUACCCCGGUAGUCCCAGCUGUAGAUGAUGCAGACUGUGGUGUUGCGCCAGAUUUAAUCUGUCGCAGUGCUGUAGCGUAGGUGUUAAGUCUGCCGCCUGGGGAGUACGACCGCAAGGUUGAAACUUAAAGGAAUUGGCGGGGGAGCACCACAAGCCGUGGAUGCUACGGUUCAAUUGGAUACAACGCCGUGAACUUCACCCGGUGCGACGGCAGCAUGAAGGCCAGACUGAAGAUCUUGCCUGACAAGCCGAGAGGUGUUGCAUGGCCAUCGUCAGCUCGUGGUGUGAACUGUCCGGUUAAGUCCGGCAACGAGCGAGACCCAUGCGUUUAGUUGCUACCUCUGCCUUUAGCAGGGGGCACUCUAAAUGGACUGCCCGCGUUAAGUGGGAGGAAGGAGUGGGCGACGGUAGGUCAGUAUGGCCCGAAUCACCGGGGCUACACGCGGCAUACAAUGGGUGGAACAAUGGGUUGCUACUCCGAGAGGAGGCGCUAAUCCCCUAAAUCCAUCCCUAGUUCGGAUGAGGUUACACUCACUCAUGAAGCUGAAUGGCUAUAACCCGGGUCUCAC